ACGUGGUCUCCUUUCCAAUCUAAAGGCUUCCCUCACAACUCACAAGUCACAAGCUACCAAGAUAGAGAAAAAGAAGCGAUCAGAUGGAGAGGAAGAGAAUUCAAUUCGGCCAACAGCACCGCCACGGCACCACUAUCUUUCAUCCGCCAUCCCACUCGCAGGUGGCAGGAAUCUCGACUGCCGCCUCUCUUCGUCGCCGCCCAGCACCACUGCUCAAUGCGUCAUACCCUUGGCAGUAGCAGGGGCGUUCACGCAAAACCAAACAGCAGAUCCAUAAAUCUGAAUUGAUGAAGCCGGUAGCUCCUCCCUGUCGCCGUUCGAUUUUCGACUUCGAUCUUGGCCGGUGCAGUGAGCUCGCCAGCUCGCCGCUGGUUGACUGACCGGAGUUGUCGCGUCGCCACCAACUCCGAGCCUUUGACACGACGACAUUCAGAGGCAUCAAAGAGGUUGCAGCUGUCAGAAGCGAUGAUACUGGAAAAAAUGUCGUUGGUAUAUAUUUGUGUCUUCGAGAAUGUCUUAAAUGUUGAAAAUGUAAUUAAGAAGUCCAUAGGUGGAUUCAAUAAUUUGAAACAAUGGCCAGACAAGAAUCUUAUUUUCUGCACCUCGAAGAACUAAAAAGCUAUCUUGAUAAAUGUGAGAUGCCAUAAUGUGUCAUAA
Long non-coding RNA from Ipomoea triloba (trilobed morning glory), 657 nucleotides. RefSeq lists it as uncharacterized. The transcript is spliced from 2 exons. The record is from RefSeq and is a predicted model, not a curated record. Lineage: Eukaryota; Viridiplantae; Streptophyta; Magnoliopsida; Solanales; Convolvulaceae.